This is a long non-coding RNA of Triticum aestivum (bread wheat), 914 nucleotides long. RefSeq lists it as uncharacterized. The transcript has 2 exons. The record is from RefSeq and is a predicted model, not a curated record. Lineage: Eukaryota; Viridiplantae; Streptophyta; Magnoliopsida; Poales; Poaceae.
UUUAACCCCACAGUCCACCCCAUCUAACCCUAAUCCCCAUUCCCUUCUCCCGUUCCCUCAGCCGCCGCACUCCACCUAUGUUCCCCUGCCGGCUCCCGAUCUAGAGCUUCCCUCUCCGCUCACCCUAUGCGUCCGGCCCCUCCGGACGACCCCAACUGCUGCGGCUAGACGACAUUCGGCGUCGUCCAUGACGGGCCCUUCCUCGGUCGCAGUCGACCAGCACAUGGACGGGAACCCCAUGACGCUCUGGCCAUCUCAACCAGAUCGCCGCUGACAUCUUCGGCCGGCAGCGAGCCAUGGUGAGGUACAGGGCGCCGCCGUCGUCACGGAUGCGGAGUACAGGGCGCGACCGCCACGGAUCCAGCCUCUGCUUCACCGACGCGGCCCCCUUCUCUAUUGUAUCUCGUGGCUACUGAUCCAUCUUUGACCGGCAGCAAGCCAUGGUGAGGUACAGGGCGGCGCCGCCGUCACGGAUGCUGUGUUCAGGACGCCACCGACACGAAUCCAGCCUCUGCUUCACCGAUGCAGCCCCCUUCUCUGUUGCAUCUCCCGGCUAGGUACUUGCGAAACUGUACAGUUUAUGGCUACAACUUGAAGGUCCUUAUUUGGGUCUCGUCCAAAAAAAUGGAGCUGGAAAUUUUCCAUGCGAGCCUAAUUUUUAGAAUCAUGUUUUUAGUUUAUUCUGACUAGAAAUGUCCAGUGUGUGUUCCAUGAUGGUAACUCCAAAUAUGAUAUUUUUGGUCCUGUAGGUAUUUUCCAUGUAAAAAUAUAUACUUUUCUGUCUGUGUGCUUGGCUUUGUGCUAUUCAUAUCAAUGUUUAUAUAGGUGGAUUGUACAUUCUGAAUAUUUUCUUUGGAUAUUUUUUAUCUGCUAUAAUAUGAUCAUUAAGCACCAUGCAUAUGGAUUAUACCUUU